UUCCUAAAACCGCCGUCGCCCGUCCAAAGCCGGGAUGUGAAAGGUUGAUGGGGAA
RNAcentral lists this non-coding RNA (55 nucleotides) under unclassified sequences. The record is from RNAcentral.